RNAcentral lists this ribosomal RNA (614 nucleotides) under uncultured bacterium. RNAcentral describes it as "bacterial SSU rRNA". It matches the Rfam family "Bacterial small subunit ribosomal RNA", at positions 37 to 665 of the family's 1533-position model. The record is from RNAcentral.
UGGCGGCGUGCCUAACACAUGCAAGUCGAACGAGAAAGCGGGGGCAACUCCGCGAGUAAAGUGGCGACCGGGUGAGUAACACGUGACUAACCUGCCCUCGAGCGGGGGAUAACCCCGGGAAACCGGGGCUAAUACCGCAUAACAUCUUCGAUACGAAAGUGUUGAGGAUCAAAGGAGCAAUUCACUUGAGGAGGGGGUCGCGGCCGAUUAGCUAGUUGGCGGGGUAACGGCCCACCAAGGCUGAGAUCGGUAGCCGGCCUGAGAGGGCGCACGGCCACACUGGAACUGAAACACGGUCCAGACUCCUACGGGAGGCAGCAGUGGGGAAUUUUGCGCAAUGGGGGGAACCCUGACGCAGCAACGCCGCGUGGAGGAUGAAGUCCCUUGGGACGUANACUCCUUUCGACCGGGAAGAUGAUGACGGUACCGGAAGAAGAAGCACCGGCUAACUCUGUGCCAGCAGCCGCGGUAAUACAGAGGGUGCGAGCGUUGUUCGGAAUUAUUGGGCGUAAAGGGCGCGUANGCGGUGCGGAAAGUCACCUGUGAAAUCUCCUGGCUUAACUGGGAGCUUGCAGGCGAAACUGCCGUGCUGGAGUGUGGGAAAGGUGCGUGGA